AGCUGCUCACCGAUUUAACAGCUCCAAACGCAGUUCCACCACCAAGUCAUCCACUAUGCAGGUGUCUGCUGUCGCUGGUUAAUGCUCUGAUUGAAUCUAGGCCGCAGUAGUAGUAAUAAAUUAGCAGUAGUAGUUAUUAGUGAUAGUAGGCUUCCAUAUAUUUGUUGUUUCUAUGUCUUAUGAAUUUGUUGUUCGCAAAUUUCUGUGAAAAUAGCCUAAAUUAUUUUUGAUCUUCGGGCAAUAGAGAGAGCAGAGUACAGUAUAUUGAAAUUCUGUUGGUCGAAUAGCAGAUUAUUUUAACCACUUCCUGUCUAGGCUUGAUAAACCAGUCUACUUGUUACCUGAAGGGCGUGGUUAUAUUGGGGCCAGUGAAUCUGCCGUUUACUCACCUUAUUCGUAACAACGCUCACCUGCUCUCACUUUGUCUCUUUCCCAUUGCUCUCACACACAAAAACACGUCCCAGAGAGGAGAAACUAUCAGGAGAGAAGAAUCAUGUCGGUGGAAGUCCACAUAGAAUAUUGGUAAGUUAUUGUUUAACGUUGUACUACAUCUGUUAAUGUCUACUCUAAAAUGUUAUUAGGAGAUCUGUUGUUAUACCAAAGAAAACAACAGUGAGACAGUGAACAAACUGUCUGAAUGUGUUGGUAUUGGCUCAGGUUAUUGAUUUAAAGAGAGAGUUUGCUGACAAAAACAAAACAUUGACAUGAUUUUCCAGUUAGAGAAACUCAUUAUUUACAUCAUCAGUCCAACAUUUUCACUACCCUCUCCAUUUCUAUUGUCCAGUGUAAAGUUCUAGAUAUGACAUGCCAUGUGCAGCCUGUGUGUGUGUUUACGGUGUGAUUGUGGUCUGCAGUAGUGGAUGAGGGUACGAGUCUUGCUAUCAGGACCUAGCAUCUGCCAUCAAGCGGAACGUUCCUGAUGUGACGGUGACGGGAACCACGGGGCGGCGCUGUAAGUGUCACACACACACACACACACACACAGCUUGAAGUUACCCUGUCAGAUAGUGACCUCACAGCUGUGCUUCACACACAGAACGACGUUACAGAUCUCAUCGGACGUCAACUACACUCUGAUGGUCCAUCCAUUAGAUUUGAUCAAUACCUCAGUAGAUUAUGUUAUAUUCUAAUGAUCAUGGUUUGUCCCACAGCCAGUUUCGAGGUAACAGUGAAUGGUAAACUGGCCUACUCUAAACUGGAGGCAGGAGGAUUCCCAGACACCAAGGAGAUGGUGGCGAUGGUGAAGGAGGUGAGCCGUGGAGGAAAGGUGGAGAAAGUGAAGAAGAAGGAUAAUAAGUGUUUUCUCCAAUAGAUGAGUGGUUAUUGAGAGGAGAGUGUUUUUUUAAGAUCCUGGGUCCUGAACUGAUUCUAUUAAUGAUUGUUCACAAUGAAACUAGGGAUGUGAACAUGAUGAAGUCGACAGUCAUUUCAACUCUGUGAUCUGAGGGAAAUACUCUUAUCCUGUGUCUCUGUGUUACACUGUCAUGUCUUAUGUUAUUCCUUGUCUGUUUUUCUUUCCUUAUACAGACCAAGAUAUUAUAGACUGACGAGCAUUUAGUUUUGCAUUCUAGAAAUAUUGUACUCAAUGUAGACCUCUGCAGUUGUAUAGGCUGUACGUGUAUUUUUAAAUGAUCAAAUAAAUUCUAGGAAUCAAUUAGUAUUGAGUUUGUGUGUGGGGAGGGUGCUGUUGGACAUUUACAAUAAUGCUGUUGGACAUUUACAAUAAUGCUGUUGGACAUUUACAAUAAAGCUGUUGGACAUUUACAAUAAAGCUGUUGGACAUUUACAAUAAUGCUGUUGGACAUUUACAAUAAAGCUGUUGGACAUUUACAAUAAUGCUGUUGGACAUUUACAAUAAAGCUGUUGGACAUUUACAAUAAAGCUGUUGGACAUUUACAAUAAAGCUGUUGGACAUUUACAAUAAUGCUGUUGGACAUUUACAAUAAAGCUGUUGGACAUUUACAAUAAAGCUGUUGGACAUUUACAAUAAUGCUGUUGGACAUUUA
Oncorhynchus tshawytscha (Chinook salmon) is the source of this 2006-nucleotide long non-coding RNA. The record is from Ensembl. Lineage: Eukaryota; Metazoa; Chordata; Actinopteri; Salmoniformes; Salmonidae.